CCUGACUUUAAGUCUCUUUUCAGGGUGCCACAGGCAAAGCUGGGGACCCAGGGAGAGACGUAAGUAAGG
Molecule: non-coding RNA, 69 nt
Organism: Equus caballus (horse)
Lineage: Eukaryota; Metazoa; Chordata; Mammalia; Perissodactyla; Equidae
Source: Rfam